GCCAGAGUGGUGAAAUUGGUAUACACGCAGUCUUCAGAAGGCUGUGCCGUAAGGCUUGCAGGUUCGAGUCCUGUCUCUGGCACCA
RNAcentral lists this transfer RNA (85 nucleotides) under candidate division WWE3 bacterium. RNAcentral's name for it is "tRNA-Leu". It matches the Rfam family "tRNA". From Rfam's summary of the family: Transfer RNA (tRNA) molecules are approximately 80 nucleotides in length. Their secondary structure includes four short double-helical elements and three loops (D, anti-codon, and T loops). The record is from RNAcentral. Lineage: Bacteria; candidate division WWE3.